This 301-nucleotide ribosomal RNA is filed under the name uncultured bacterium. RNAcentral's name for it is "partial 16S ribosomal RNA". It matches the Rfam family "Bacterial small subunit ribosomal RNA", at positions 509 to 807 of the family's 1533-position model. The record is from RNAcentral.
CAGUAGCCGCGGUAAUACGGAGGGUGCAAGCGUUAAUCGGAAUUACUGGGCGUAAAGCGCACGCAGGCGGUUUGUUAAGUCAGAUGUGAAAUCCCCGAGCUUAACUUGGGAACUGCAUUUGAAACUGGCAAGCUAGAGUCUUGUAGAGGGGGGUAGAAUUCCAGGUGUAGCGGUGAAAUGCGUAGAGAUCUGGAGGAAUACCGGUGGCGAAGGCGACUCUCUGGUCUGUAACUGACGCUGAGGAGCGAAAGCGUGGGGAGCAAACAGGAUUAGAUACCCCGGUAGUCCCUGUCUCUUAUAC